GACGAACGCUGGCGGCGUGCUUAACACAUGCAAGUCGAACGGAAAGGCCCUGCUUUUGUGGGGUGCUCGAGUGGCGAACGGGUGAGUAACACGUGAGUAACCUGCCCUUGACUUUGGGAUAACUUCAGGAAACUGGGGCUAAUACCGGAUAGGAGCUCCUGCUGCAUGGUGGGGGUUGGAAAGUUUCGGCGGUUGGGGAUGGACUCGCGGCUUAUCAGCUUGUUGGUGGGGUAGUGGCUUACCAAGGCUUUGACGGGUAGCCGGCCUGAGAGGGUGACCGGCCACAUGGGGACUGAGAUACGGCCCAGACUCCUACGGGAGGCAGCAGUGGGGAAUAUUGCACAAUGGGCGGAAGCCUGAUGCAGCAACGCCGCGUGCGGGAGGACGGCCUUCGGGUUGUAAACCGCUUUCGCCUGUGACGAAGCGUGAGUGACGGUAAUGGGUAAAGAAGCACCGGCUAACUACGU
RNAcentral lists this ribosomal RNA (467 nucleotides) under uncultured bacterium. Its description in RNAcentral is "partial 16S ribosomal RNA". It matches the Rfam family "Bacterial small subunit ribosomal RNA", at positions 28 to 506 of the family's 1533-position model. The record is from RNAcentral.